UCCUCGGUCUGGCUGCUUUAUA
Molecule: microRNA, 22 nt
Filed under: Tribolium castaneum (red flour beetle)
Lineage: Eukaryota; Metazoa; Arthropoda; Insecta; Coleoptera; Tenebrionidae
Description: Tca-Mir-252-P1_3p* (star (passenger))
Source: RNAcentral